AAUCAACGCUGGCGGCGUGCCUCAGACAUGCAAGUCGAACGAUUAAACUUGCCUUCGGGCAAGAUAUAAAGUGGCGCACGGGUGAGUAACACGUAAGUAAUCUACCUUCGAGUGGGGAAUAACGUCGGGAAACCGACGCUAAUACCGCAUAAUGCAGCGGCACCUAAUGGUGACAGUUGUUAAAGGAGCAAUUCGCUUGAAGAGGAGCUUGCGGCAGAUUAGCAGUUGGUAAGGUAAUGGCUUACCAAGGCUACGAUCUGUAACCGGUCUAAGAGGACGGUCGGUCACACUGACACUGAAUAACGGGUCAGACUCCUACGGGAGGCAGCAGUCGGGAAUUUUGGGCAAUGGGCGAAAGCCUGACCCAGCAACGCCGCGUGAAGGAUGAAGUAUUUCGGUAUGUAAACUUCGAAAGAAUGGGAAGAAUC
RNAcentral lists this ribosomal RNA (428 nucleotides) under uncultured bacterium. RNAcentral describes it as "bacterial SSU rRNA". It matches the Rfam family "Bacterial small subunit ribosomal RNA", at positions 32 to 451 of the family's 1533-position model. The record is from RNAcentral.